This 531-nucleotide long non-coding RNA is filed under the name Elaeis guineensis (African oil palm). Its description in RNAcentral is "long non-coding RNA (EGUI_LNC045105)". Lineage: Eukaryota; Viridiplantae; Streptophyta; Magnoliopsida; Arecales; Arecaceae. The record is from RNAcentral.
CGGGAGCCGGGCUCCAUCCACGACGCCAAGGAAGACUCCACUCGGACUCCUACGGGAGCCGGGCUCCAUCCAUGACGCCAAGAAAGACUCCACCCGGACUCCUACGGGAGCCGGGCUCCAUCCACGAUGCCAAGGAAGACUCCACCCAGACUUCUAUAGGAGCCGGGCUCCAUCCACGACGCCAAAAAAGACUCCACCCGGACUCCUAUGGGAGCCGGGCUCCGCCCACGACUCCAAUCACAGGAGGGUUCCGUCCGAACUCCCAUGGGAGCCGAACUUCGCCUUGACUUCAGCGGAGAAAAAUUCCGAGCGAAAAGGAAAAAGGAAGGCAACGGACCAUGACAGCUACGAUUGGAAAACGGACAGCGAUCGAGGUACAGAAAACUCUGUCACCGCAAGGACUGGGGCUCCCAUCGGGAGUCCCAGCUUUUGAGGAAGUUUUUGACAUAAAAUAGGACAACUUACUUAGGGUGACAGAAGCUCGGAUCCCCGAAUUCAAGCCCUAGGAGGGACCCCAGGCCCGAAUGGCCC